AUUGAACGCUGCGGCAUGCCUUACACAUGCAAGUCGAACGGUAACAGGUCUUCGGAUGCUGACGAGUGGCGAACGGGUGAGUAAUACAUCGGAACGUGCCCGAUCGUGGGGGAUAACGAAGCGAAAGCUUUGCUAAUACCGCAUAAGAUCUACGGAUGAAAGCAGGGGACCGCAAGGCCUUGCGCGAACGGAGCGGCCGAUGGCAGAUUAGGUAGUUGGUGGGAUAAAAGCUUACCAAGCCGACGAUCUGUAGCUGGUCUGAGAGGACGACCAGCCACACUGGGACUGAGACUCGGCCCAGACUCCUACGGGAGGCAGCAGUGGGGAAUUUUGGACAAUGGGCGAAAGCCUGAUCCAGCCAUGCCGCGUGCAGGAUGAAGGCCUUCGGGUUGUAAACUGCUUUUGUACGGAACGAAAAGACUCUGGUUAAUACCUGGGGUCCAUGACGGUACCGUAAGAAUAAGCACCGGCUAACUACGUG
Molecule: ribosomal RNA, 481 nt
Filed under: uncultured bacterium
Lineage: Bacteria
Description: partial 16S ribosomal RNA
Rfam family: Bacterial small subunit ribosomal RNA
Source: RNAcentral